RNAcentral lists this ribosomal RNA (804 nucleotides) under Triticum aestivum (bread wheat). RNAcentral's name for it is "partial small subunit ribosomal RNA". Lineage: Eukaryota; Viridiplantae; Streptophyta; Magnoliopsida; Poales; Poaceae. The record is from RNAcentral.
AUGGAGAAUUCCUCCUCUACUGCUUGUACUCCCGAGAACGAGGUUCUCAACUUUAAACAAAGGGGAGGAGAAAGUUUAAAAGAUUUUUGGUAUAGAAUUUGCAAUGCUCAUAAUAGAUCUAUCCGUAAGCAAUCUACCACUGUGCUUAUGCGCUGUAUUUUUGUUGAUAUCAUCACUUGGUAUAGAUUCGUCCUUGAUACGAUUACCGGUGGAAAUUUCUUAAUGAGUUCUCCUUUUGAUGCUCUUAAUGCUAUGGAAAAUUUAGUGGGCUCACCACCUCUUAUGGUUAAUGAAAUAAUUUUAACUCUUGAGCAUGUUAUGAAAAGACUAGAUGCUAUUGAAAAGAAAAUGCUCACUGAAGAUUAUAUGGAAAUUAUACAUAGAAAGAUGCAUAAUUUUGCCACUAUUCUUGGAUCAAAAGCAGGCAAUAUUUUUAAGUUGUUAAAACAAAGGGGUACUUUAAUCCAUGAAAGAAUAGAAGAAGGUCCGUGUCGGAUCGAUAAAUUGGAAGAAAUCUUUAGUAAUCUAAGAACAACUUUUACUACCACUAAAAUUAUUGAGGAAACUCUCUUAAAGAGUAGGAUAUCCAAAAAUAAGGGUGCAACUCCUAGUGAUAGCAAUAAAGGAGAUCUUAAGAUGAUUAGUAUCCAUUCUGAUUUUGUUGAAAUGAUAAAAGAUCAUUUUUGCAAGAAUGAAAUCUUUGAAUUUAUUCCUAGGAGUGUUGUUAUUGAAAAUCUUUAUGCUAAAUCUUUGAGGGAUUCUAAGUGUUUGCUUGAAGAGUUGGACAAGGAUGACAAAACUUAG